UUGUUCUGAUUACUAUGUGUCAGAG
RNAcentral lists this unclassified non-coding RNA (25 nucleotides) under Mus musculus (house mouse). RNAcentral describes it as "oocyte_clustered_small_RNA7591". Lineage: Eukaryota; Metazoa; Chordata; Mammalia; Rodentia; Muridae. The record is from RNAcentral.